Molecule: ribosomal RNA, 465 nt
Filed under: Vreelandella stevensii
Lineage: Bacteria; Pseudomonadati; Pseudomonadota; Gammaproteobacteria; Oceanospirillales; Halomonadaceae
Description: partial 16S ribosomal RNA
Rfam family: Bacterial small subunit ribosomal RNA
Source: RNAcentral
CCUACGGGUGGCAGCAGUGGGGAAUAUUGGACAAUGGGGGCAACCCUGAUCCAGCCAUGCCGCGUGUGUGAAGAAGGCCCUCGGGUUGUAAAGCACUUUCAGUGAGGAAGAACGCCUGGUGGUUAAUACCCAUCAGGAAAGACAUCACUCACAGAAGAAGCACCGGCUAACUCCGUGCCAGCAGCCGCGGUAAUACGGAGGGUGCGAGCGUUAAUCGGAAUUACUGGGCGUAAAGCGCGCGUAGGUGGCUUGAUAAGCCGGUUGUGAAAGCCCCGGGCUCAACCUGGGAACGGCAUCCGGAACUGUCAAGCUAGAGUGCAGGAGAGGAAGGUAGAAUUCCCGGUGUAGCGGUGAAAUGCGCAGAGAUCGGGAGGAAUACCAGUGGCGAAGGCGGCCUUCUGGACUGACACUGACACUGAGGUGCGAAAGCGUGGGUAGCAAACAGGAUUAGAUACCCCUGUAGUC